GUGUUUAAUCCUUUUACGUCUCUCUUUCGCUUGGCUUGCAAUUGCAAACCCCUGAAUUCAGUAGCUUCAUCGUUUCUUCUUUUCUAAUUCAGGUUCUGGGUUUUAGAUCAUCUAAUGCCUAUCAAGCUUUGAUUUCUCGAUCUGGAAAUUGUUUAUUUUGGUCUCUAAUUUUGAUUUUACUUUGGGGCUGCCUCUUUCAAGGCUUAUGCGGCUACACGAUCCCCAUUUCCGAGAUUGAUUAAAAGGACCUUCUGUUAUUUGCCUGUUUAUGCCUUGGCUUUUUUAUUAUCCUGCCAUAUCUAUAGUUGCUUUUUCAUCCAAAGAAUCUUUCAAAAUUCAUCACUUGGCUUAUGACUAACCUAAGGAAGAGAGCAGCUUUGUCUGUGCUGGAUUGAUCAUCAUGUAAUGGAUCAGAAUUUGUAGCUUCAGAGGUCUUCUCUGUAUUAGAACAAUGGAUUUGCACAACAAUUCUCAUCC
This 477-nucleotide unclassified non-coding RNA is filed under the name Hevea brasiliensis (rubber tree). The record is from RNAcentral. Lineage: Eukaryota; Viridiplantae; Streptophyta; Magnoliopsida; Malpighiales; Euphorbiaceae.